RNAcentral lists this microRNA precursor (96 nucleotides) under Pelobates cultripes (western spadefoot toad). The record is from RNAcentral. Lineage: Eukaryota; Metazoa; Chordata; Amphibia; Anura; Pelobatidae.
AAACGUUAUUUUCUCACUCAAAACCUUUCUUUUCAACUCUUUUUGCCAAAAGAGUUGAAAAGAAAGGUUUUGAGUGAGAAAAUAACUCAACAACCA